AUUAUUACAGAUGGAACUGUUUACAUUUGAAGGUAAACUAACAGCUUCAUGACUAGAACAGUGAAGGUAAAGUAACCACUUCAUGACUAGAACAGUCAGGUUUACAAGAAUUAGAAGAAGAAGAAGAACAUACAGAAACAGAAGAACAACAAUUAGAAGAAGAGGAAGGUGGUACCCAAGCAAGCUUGUACAGACCAGUCUCCUCUUUACCAAGAUCCAGAGGCAUCCUCAGAGAAGGGGCCUGUAACAUGUGGAGGAAACAGGAGGUUGUAGUGAACAAGACUAUGCAAUGCAACUGUUUUACUAAUUUGUGGACAAAAAUCAAGUUGUGUUUGAAAGAAGGAACAAGUAAGACAUCAUGAAGAGUGAUGAAUGGAUUUAAUGCAAAAGGUCCUGUGCAAGUCACUUUCACUUUAUAUCCAUUAGGAAGA
Molecule: long non-coding RNA, 431 nt
Filed under: Nicotiana benthamiana
Lineage: Eukaryota; Viridiplantae; Streptophyta; Magnoliopsida; Solanales; Solanaceae
Description: long non-coding RNA (NBEN_LNC021156)
Source: RNAcentral